This 243-nucleotide long non-coding RNA is filed under the name Lathyrus oleraceus (garden pea). RNAcentral's name for it is "Pisum sativum (pea) long non-coding RNA (PSAT_LNC023551)". The record is from RNAcentral. Lineage: Eukaryota; Viridiplantae; Streptophyta; Magnoliopsida; Fabales; Fabaceae.
UACACGAAAAAGUCAAAAAAUAUUAGUUAGAGGUGAUAAUCUUUAAAGAAGUAAGUAAAGAUAUAACAAUUUAAACAACUUACUUUUGUGCAUAUGGAAAUGUGAAAGGGUUGUUGUUGACGGGUGGUAGGGACGGUAGUCUUGACCAACCCCAUGCUUGUAGCAAAACAGCACAUCCAGAAAAUGUAGAUGUGUCUUUGUGUGAGUUUUUGCACAAUGAGCUAUAGAGAUAGGCUAGACAAG